This 713-nucleotide ribosomal RNA is filed under the name Bacillus sp. FJAT-4652. RNAcentral's name for it is "bacterial SSU rRNA". It matches the Rfam family "Bacterial small subunit ribosomal RNA", at positions 56 to 753 of the family's 1533-position model. The record is from RNAcentral. Lineage: Bacteria; Bacillati; Bacillota; Bacilli; Caryophanales; Bacillaceae.
UGCAGUCGAGCGGACAGAAGGGAGCUUGCUCCCGGAUGUUAGCGGCGGACGGGUGAGUAACACGUGGGUAACCUGCCUGUAAGACUGGGAUAACUCCGGGAAACCGGAGCUAAUACCGGAUAGUUCCUUGAACCGCAUGGUUCAAGGAUGAAAGACGGUUUCGGCUGUCACUUACAGAUGGACCCGCGGCGCAUUAGCUAGUUGGUGGGGUAAUGGCUCACCAAGGCGACGAUGCGUAGCCGACCUGAGAGGGUGAUCGGCCACACUGGGACUGAGACACGGCCCAGACUCCUACGGGAGGCAGCAGUAGGGAAUCUUCCGCAAUGGACGAAAGUCUGACGGAGCAACGCCGCGUGAGUGAUGAAGGUUUUCGGAUCGUAAAGCUCUGUUGUUAGGGAAGAACAAGUGCGAGAGUAACUGCUCGCACCUUGACGGUACCUAACCAGAAAGCCACGGCUAACUACGUGCCAGCAGCCGCGGUAAUACGUAGGUGGCAAGCGUUGUCCGGAAUUAUUGGGCGUAAAGGGCUCGCAGGCGGUUUCUUAAGUCUGAUGUGAAAGCCCCCGGCUCAACCGGGGAGGGUCAUUGGAAACUGGGAAACUUGAGUGCAGAAGAGGAGAGUGGAAUUCCACGUGUAGCGGUGAAAUGCGUAGAGAUGUGGAGGAACACCAGUGGCGAAGGCGACUCUCUGGUCUGUAACUGACGCUGAGGAG